This 111-nucleotide small nuclear RNA is filed under the name Rhinolophus ferrumequinum (greater horseshoe bat). RNAcentral's name for it is "U2 spliceosomal RNA (ENSRFEG00010000175.1)". It matches the Rfam family "U2 spliceosomal RNA". Rfam says of the family: U2 is a small nuclear RNA (snRNA) component of the spliceosome (involved in pre-mRNA splicing). Lineage: Eukaryota; Metazoa; Chordata; Mammalia; Chiroptera; Rhinolophidae. The record is from Rfam by way of RNAcentral.
AUCACUGCUCAGCCUUUUGGAUAAGAUCAAGUGUAGUGUAUGUUCUUAUCAGUUUAAUAUUUUAUCAAUUCUCUCUUAUUUCAAUUAUACUUUGGUUGAAUAGUACCUUCG